UUCUUUUCUUCUUUCUUCUUCUUCUUCUUCUUCUUGUUUCUUCUCUUCUAGUUCUCUGUUUCUGCUCCUGUUUCUGAAAUCGAGUGAUAGAAUGGAAGAGUUAGGGUCGGUAGAAGGUGUAGAAGAUUAUGCGGUAGUUGGUGGUGAGGUUGAUGGUGUUUGUUGCGGAUUCAGACUUGAAGGAGGAAGUGAAUUAAGAAUUAGGUUUUCUUAAUAAGUUCUGUGAGGAUGUAGAUGGUGAAAUUGAUUAAUUAGCGAGAAGAUUAGAGAUGGGUUGUGGUUAGAUUAAAGUUCUGAAGUUGUUUCAUUAAUAUUUGAAAAGUUAGGGUUUUGUAAGAAAUUCAAUGAAGAAUUAGAAGACGAACAUGAUGAAAAGGGGAUUGAAUAAAUGAUGGGUUUUGUUGAUUUAAAGAAUUAGGAUGUUAUUUUGUAUUCAAAUCAGGAAGUUUAUGAUUUGGGAAUUAUUUAGGGUUCUUCUGAGAAUAACAGAUAGAGAUGAGGAUUUUGAUAUGAAGGUUAGGGCUCGACUCUGUUAGUAAGAAGGUGAUGACUACUAUUGGUGUUGAUUCAUGACUCAGGGAAAAUGGUAAGUUGAAUUAGAAUUUCUGAAUUUAACCUUGAAUUUCUGAGAAACUGAUUUGAUUCAGUUAUUUAUUGAUAGGUUAUGUUGAGAUUCAGUUAGAUAAUGUUAUGGGGUUUUGUUAUAUUGUCUUUGUGAAAUUGAGUUGAAGUAGUGGAUGAAAUGGUGAAGAUAUUAGUCAAGAAAUAUGGUUUUGUAUUGUUGUAAUGAGAUAUAGUUGAAGUUAAUUUGAUUGCUAGAUAAUUAGUCUGGUUGUGUGUUGAUGUUCAGAGGGGUGUGAUUGAAUUGCUGGUAGUAUUGUGGAAUGAGAUAUGCAGUUGCAGAUUGGUGAUGUUGGUAGGUUGAAAUGGCAGUGUAAAGGAAUGUUAGUAUAAAUGAGAAUGAAGUUUGUUGUUGAACUGAGUUGCAGGUGGAAUAAGAUGGUGAUGUUGUCUGUGUAGUUGGAUUUGAAGGUGGAGAAGGGAAUGUUGUUUGAUCUGUGACAGGUGAAGGAUUGAUGGUAAUGUUUGUGUAACGGAGUUGGUGGUGUUGGAAUGAACUGGUGAUGGUGGCUCUGUAGAUGUUGGUGAUACUUAGGGGUUGUGGUGUGUUACAUAUGUGGUUUUUGCAAUGAAUUGCAGGUCUGAAGGUCGUAAUGUUGCAUAGUCAGUUUGGUUACAAGUAAUUGUUGAGCUAGUGGAGAUCUCUCUUGAGAGUUUACUUUGUGGUAUUGUUUUCGAGGUGAUGGAACUGAAAUGGUUGUAGCAUAGUGGUAUUGAGUGUUGUUGUGUGUGGUUCAGAGAUGGUUGAAUUGUGAUUGGAGUAUGAGAAGAUUGGUUAGCUGUUGUUGUGGAAAUGAUGUUUUUGCUGUAGUAUUAUGGAGUGCAGGAAAGGGGUUAGUGGUCUGUUGUUGAACUGUUAAUGUCGGGAUUCACAACUGCAGGGGCAUUGCAGUGGCAAUUCAGUUGUGUGUGUAUGGAUUAAGUGUUGUCGAGAUGAUCUGGGUUUGCUUAAAGCUGCAAGUGCAGUUAUUCUAUUAACAACAAUCGAAUCGAAGGAUGAACCAGUGGAUCGUGGAUCUCGAGGUAGGCGUGGCUUGUUAUCAAAAGAGGGCAGGUGUUCAGACGAAAGUUGAAGCAUAUUUGGGUGUCUUGUCUCGCGAUGGUUGUGAUUCUAGACCUGCAGACAUUCACGUCUACAAUUGAGAGGAAGGUCGCGAUACCUGUUUAGAUGUGACAGAGGUUUCUCCUUUUGCAGGCGGUGGUGUAGAAGCUUUUACACCGGGUCUUUCCUUGAUUAAAGUCGUUGAGCAUAAAAGGAGCAAAUACCUUGAUGUAUGUAGAGUCAAUGGAUAGUUUUGGUACUUUGGCGUUUUCUAUCUUGGGUGAGCUUGGAAAUGAAACUAUAGAGUUUUUGUUAAGAUUAAUGACGUUAAUAUUAAAGUUCGCAAAAUUUUUUAUUAGAGUAGGUUUAGCUAUCCAAAAAGGUGUUGGAACGCAACUUGUUGCAAGACUACCGUCUAGUUUCUUGUAAAGAUUCUUUUCGUUUCGUUUUAA
Molecule: long non-coding RNA, 2115 nt
Organism: Papaver somniferum (opium poppy)
Lineage: Eukaryota; Viridiplantae; Streptophyta; Magnoliopsida; Ranunculales; Papaveraceae
Exons: 3
Source: RefSeq, a predicted model, not a curated record